Non-coding RNA from Bombyx mori (domestic silkworm), 86 nucleotides. Lineage: Eukaryota; Metazoa; Arthropoda; Insecta; Lepidoptera; Bombycidae. The record is from Rfam.
UUAACGCAAAUUUGUAUAGAGCUGGAACGUUUGCCUACGUUUGCCGCUAGGGGCGCUGUUCCAAUUCCAUACAAAUUUUUAAGUUA